UCUUGGACAAUGGGCGAAAGCCUGAUCCAGCCAUGCCGCGUGAGUGAUGAAGGCCUUAGGGUUGUAAAGCUCUUUCGCCAGGGAAGAUAAUGACGGUACCUGGAUAAGAAGCCCCGGCUAACUUCGUGCCAGCAGCCGCGGUAAUACGGGGGGUGCAAGCGUUGUUCGGAAUUAUUGGGCGUAAAGCGCGCGCAGGCGGCUUGGGAAGUCCAUGGGUGAAAGGCCGGAGCUCAACUCCGCGUAGGCCCAGGAUACUCUCAGGCUGGAGACACGUAGAGGCAAGCGGAAUUCCGGGUGUAGCGGUGGAAUGCGUAGAUAUCCGGAAGAACACCGGAGGCGAAGGCGGCUUGCUGGGCGUGAUCUGACGCUGAGGCGCGAAAGCGUGGGGAGCAA
RNAcentral lists this ribosomal RNA (393 nucleotides) under uncultured bacterium. Its description in RNAcentral is "bacterial SSU rRNA". It matches the Rfam family "Bacterial small subunit ribosomal RNA", at positions 362 to 771 of the family's 1533-position model. The record is from RNAcentral.